CAAAAACCAGAUGAAACAGACGAGCCUGGGAGCGACAACCCCUAGCACGAAGAAAAACUGACGAUCGAGGCUGGCCUCGAUCUAUUCGCUACAAAGACGGGAACCACGCCGCCGCCGCCAUCGCGGAUCCUUGAAGCGUCGUCGAUCUAUUCAUUACAUCGAUGGAAACCAUCGUCGAUCACUGAAACAUCGCUGAUCUAUUAUCUACAUCGACGAAAACCAGUCGCCCGCGCCGAGGGGUCAUCGAGGACCCGGCGCCGAGGUCCUAAAGGAGGCGCCGCAGCCAUUGUUGCGGACCUCCGGGUCGCCAUCGGGACACCGCUGCCGAGGAUCUUCAUCCGUCAUCCUGAGCAAUUGCGGCGGCGACACGUGCGAGCUUCACAUAGUGGGGAGGACCAGGCCGCGGUGAAGGUAGGCCAUGCGCUCGUCAUGCUCCAUGAGCGGAACCUGCGCAGGGAGGCGGUAGCGCGGGGUGGCAGCCGACAAUGAGGUGGCCGCGCCACGUGACGAGCUACGGGUCCCCCUUUGUGAUGUUCUGGCAUCGCUCCUUCAUCGCAGACAUCCUUAGAUGUUUUGAAGCCUCCUUCCGGUUCGAGCUCUGCCUCGAUCUCAUCUGUGCCACGGUCGUCCUCUCUGGAGCACGCUCUGAUCUCCUAUGCAACGUGCUGCUCUAUCCAUCAGUAGCUAGAAGAUUGUACGGAGACAGUGGUACUAUUUAACCUCACACAGGAUGUGGUAUGGAUCAAUGGCAUCACCAAGUGUCUUAUGUGGCAUAUUGCUUCGGUGUGAGGGGCGCAUGUCCUCCCUUUCCCGUUUCCCCUCGCCUCCCGUCACCUCCGCGAGUCUAGCUGCUGCCGGAGUCCACGCUAUUGUCUUCAUCAUCCUCCUUUCAUUUCUUCACCCAUGCUUUGGUUGAAGUUGUUGUUUGGUUCUCAGGCUGAACAAAUCCUGCAUUUCUAAAAUCAUUGAUUUGUUUCUAGAAGUAAUACCUUAGGUUUAAGAUUAUGUUAUUCAUAAGAUUAGUGUAUAUUAAUGGUUGAUCCUUCCUGCAGAGCUGACAUGAUCGACAAUGAAGAAUGAAGACCAUGGAAUUAUAACAUUUCUUAAGAAUUUGGCAGCACACCGGAGAUGCAAUAGUGUCUUUGUUUGGCACAUUUAUCCAUGAACUCAGAAUAAAAGAUGAGGAAUAACAUAUGAAAAGAGCCGAGAGCACGACUUGGUUAUACCAUUCAAGAUUGAAAUUGGUUUGGCAUCCAUGGAAGUCAUGAUUGGUAAUGCUUUGCAGGAUGGAACAAUGGAUGUCAAAUGAAAGGAAAUGAUUGGCGGAGCGUGUACUAUAUAUGGAGAUGUCAAUGGAAAGGCUGAGAUAAUACUGAUGCUCAAUCCACAUUUGAAUGUCUCAUCUCUGAACAUUUGAAACGCUGAGCAGUCCAUGGAAGCUUGCCUAGCCGCUUUCGCACGACAUUAUAUCUUUGGACGUUUGUACUUCCGCGGCUCUCGACGUGAGCUUCCUUAUAUGUUAAUAAAUUGCUGGUUGAGAGCCCCAUUCAGCUUGCGGUAGUAAAAAAUCUCCCAAAGAGCCUCCCCAGGGCUUGCCGUGGCGGAUACCGCAUCCCUUGGCUCCGGAUGUCGAGCAAGGUGAUGGCGAGCAGGAGCAUGCGUUGUCAAACAAAUAGGUAUUGCAUUUUGAAACCGACGGGGGCAUAUAGUAUGCAGGGAAAUAAUAGCUUGAAUAACUUUUCGGUAAGAUCGGUUUUUGAAUGUUUACAAAUACAGGCAAACAUGUAAUAUGUUGUUCUAUUUUACUUUGAAUUAAAAUUGAAGCCACUUAAUGCAAAGACCUACAACCAGCAGAGAAUCAGUAGUACUGCAAUCCAUUCUAUUCUCAUAGACACCUACCCAUAGGGAUACAAAUUGAUGGCUGUUAUGAGGCACCAUAUAUGUCAUUGCUUGCUGCACUUGUGCACUGAUGUCCCGGGAGUAUCUUUGCUAUAAAUAUUCUAGAAAUCAGCAUAUUGAGCGUCAUGAUAUUUCCUAUUUGUUACAGUAUUUCGUUAUAUCAUAGAAGGUAGCUAUGCCCCAGUAUUAUGUUGUCCCUUUGUUAAAUCGAGACUAGUUAAUGCAAAGACCUAAAAAUGUCAUGAUAUUAAUUUGUCUUUGUAACAUUAUCACAAAUGUGGCCCUUUUUAUUCAUGAUCCUAGUUCGACACAAUUAAAACCAAUAAUUUGUUUUUCCCUGUGUAUCUAAUUUGUUCCUCUUCUAAUAUACAUGCAAUAGUAUGGAAGAGAAGAAUUGCUUGCUAUUGCGGUUCUUUGAUGAUAAGGUUCAGUAGACAAGGUCCCCCACCUUCAAGAUGAAGCUAGCAAAGCCAAUUUGUAUUGGCCCAAAAAGGUCAGGCCAUGUACGAUGUUAGCCAACAUUGAUCACAAGAUGCUGAAGCUAUAUUUUUCAAUAACGUAUAAAACAAGCUUGUAGCUAUUGAACUGACUAGGUGAUGUUUAGUGAUGUUUGCCAGAUUGUUUAAUCAGUUAACUACCACACAUAAGUGGUGAAAUUUUACCUGAUUGUCUUCUAGGCACAUCUUCUACUUAUAAAUCAUGAGUGCGGCGAUGCAUACUAAUAUUCCGCUUCUAUUUCAUCGAUUUUACUUGUCCACAGUAUAUUACAGACAUGAGAAAGAAGGGUCUAAAAAGUUACCUUACGUGUGUAUGUGGUAAUUCAUUUUGCUUUCUUUAAAAGCGUAUGUUCUC
Triticum aestivum (bread wheat) is the source of this 2751-nucleotide long non-coding RNA. RefSeq lists it as uncharacterized. The transcript is spliced from 7 exons. The record is from RefSeq and is a predicted model, not a curated record. NCBI's taxonomy places the organism in Eukaryota, Viridiplantae, Streptophyta, Magnoliopsida, Poales, Poaceae.